UGGGGAAUAUUGGGCAAUGGGCGCAAGCCUGACCCAGCAACGCCGCGUGAAGGAAGAAGGCUUUCGGGUUGUAAACUUCUUUUGUCAGGGACGAGUAGAAGACGGUACCUGACGAAUAAGCCACGGCUAACUACGUGCCAGCAGCCGCGGUAAUACGUAGGUGGCAAGCGUUGUCCGGAUUUACUGGGUGUAAAGGGCGUGUAGCCGGGAAGGCAAGUCAGAUGUGAAAUCCACGGGCUCAACUCGUGAACUGCAUUUGAAACUGUUUUUCUUGAGUAUCGGAGAGGCAAUCGGAAUUCCUAGUGUAGCGGUGAAAUGCGUAGAUAUUAGGAGGAACACCAGUGGCGAAGGCGGAUUGCUGGACGACAACUGACGGUGAGGCGCGAAAGCGUGGGGAGCAAACAGG
This 406-nucleotide ribosomal RNA is filed under the name uncultured bacterium. Its description in RNAcentral is "bacterial SSU rRNA". It matches the Rfam family "Bacterial small subunit ribosomal RNA", at positions 355 to 776 of the family's 1533-position model. The record is from RNAcentral.